CGUGAAAUUGGGUCGGAAUCUGGGAGGACCAUCUCCCAAGGCUAAAUACUAACUAGUGACCGAUAGCGAACAAGUACCGUGAGGGAAAGGUGAAAAGAACCCCGGAAGGGGAGUGAAAUAGUUCUUGAAACCGUGUGCUUACAAGAAGUUCGAGGCCGUUAAUGGCUGAGAGCGUGCUUUUUGUAGAAUGAACCGGAGAGUUACGAUUGCGUGCAAGGUUAAGGUGCAAAGACUGGAGCCGUAGCGAAAGCGAGUCUUAAUAGGGCGAAUCAGUACGUAGUUGUAGACCCGAAACCGAGUGACCUAUCCAUGGUCAGGUUGAAGGUGGGGUAAUACCUACUGGAGGACCGAACAAGUGGGUGUUAAAAAACCCUUUGAUGAACUGUGGAU
Molecule: ribosomal RNA, 390 nt
Filed under: Oenococcus oeni
Lineage: Bacteria; Bacillati; Bacillota; Bacilli; Lactobacillales; Lactobacillaceae
Description: bacterial LSU rRNA
Rfam family: Bacterial large subunit ribosomal RNA
Source: RNAcentral